This 250-nucleotide ribosomal RNA is filed under the name uncultured bacterium. Its description in RNAcentral is "partial 16S ribosomal RNA". It matches the Rfam family "Bacterial small subunit ribosomal RNA", at positions 524 to 773 of the family's 1533-position model. The record is from RNAcentral.
UACGAAUGUGGCGAGCGUUGUUCGGAAUCACUGGGCGUAAAGAGUACGUAGGCGGCUUGACAAGUCAGGAGUGAAAUCCCCAGGCUCAACCUGGGAAUUGCUUUUGAAACUGUCUCGCUAGAAUGUCGGAGAGGUUGGCGGAAUUCCAAGUGUAGAGGUGAAAUUCGCAGAUAUUUGGAGGAACACCAGUGGCGUAAGCGGCCAACUGGACGACUAUUGACGCUGAGGUACGAAAGCGUGGGGAUCAAAC